ACUCAAAUGAAUUGACGGGGGCCCGCACAAGCAGCGGAGCAUGUGGUUUAAUUCGAAGCAACGCGAAGAACCUUACCUGGGCUUGACAUGUUUCUGACCGCCGUGGAAACACGGUUUCUCUUCGGAGCAGAAUCACAGGUGGUGCAUGGCUGUCGUCAGCUCGUGUCGUGAGAUGUUGGGUUAAGUCCCGCAACGAGCGCAACCCUCGUCGUAUGUUGCCAGCAUUAAGUUGGGGACUCAUACGAGACUGCCGGUGACAAACCGGAGGAAGGCGGGGAUGACGUCAAGUCAUCAUGCCCCUUAUGUCCAGGGCUACACACGUGCUACAUUGGCGCAUACAGAGGGCAGCGAUACCGCGAGGUGGAGCGAAUCCCAUAAAGUGCGUCUCGGUUCGGAUUGCAGGCUGAAACCCGCCUGCAUGAAGGUGGAGUUGCUAGUAAUCGUGGAUCAGCACGCCACGGUGAAUACGUUCCCGGGCCUUGUACACACCGCCCGU
RNAcentral lists this ribosomal RNA (496 nucleotides) under uncultured bacterium. Its description in RNAcentral is "partial 16S ribosomal RNA". It matches the Rfam family "Bacterial small subunit ribosomal RNA", at positions 899 to 1397 of the family's 1533-position model. The record is from RNAcentral.